ACGGAGGGUGCAAACGUUGCUCGGAAUUAUUGGGCGUAAAGCGCACGUAGGCGGCUUGUUAAGUCGGAUGUGAAAGCCCUGGGCUCAACCCAGGAAGUGCAUUCGAAACUGCCAAGCUUGAGUACAGGAGAGGGUGGCGGAAUUCCCGGUGUAGAGGUGAAAUUCGUAGAUAUCGGGAGGAACACCAGAGGCGAAGGCGGCCACCUGGACUGAUACUGACGCUGAGGUGCGAAAGCGUGGGGAGCAAACAGG
This 252-nucleotide ribosomal RNA is filed under the name uncultured bacterium. Its description in RNAcentral is "partial 16S ribosomal RNA". It matches the Rfam family "Bacterial small subunit ribosomal RNA", at positions 525 to 776 of the family's 1533-position model. The record is from RNAcentral.